UACGUAGGGUGCAAGCGUUGUCCGGAAUUAUUGGGCGUAAAGAGCUCGUAGGCGGUUUGUCGCGUCUGCUGUGAAAACCUAAGGCUCAACCUUGGGCUUGCAGUGGGUACGGGCAGACUAGAGUGCGGUAGGGGUGACUGGAAUUCCUGGUGUAGCGGUGGAAUGCGCAGAUAUCGGGAAGAACACCCGUGGCGAAGGCGGCUCUCUGGGACGGUACUGAACGCUGAGACGGCGAAAAGCGUGGGGAGCGAACAGG
Molecule: ribosomal RNA, 256 nt
Filed under: uncultured bacterium
Lineage: Bacteria
Description: partial 16S ribosomal RNA
Rfam family: Bacterial small subunit ribosomal RNA
Source: RNAcentral